UAAAUUGGCCAGUCUACAUUCUGCUCUGACU
This 31-nucleotide non-coding RNA is filed under the name Mus musculus (house mouse). Lineage: Eukaryota; Metazoa; Chordata; Mammalia; Rodentia; Muridae. The record is from RNAcentral.